CUGGCGUCUUAUCCUCGCUGCGGCCGCCCGGGGACGCUGAAGCUCGGCGUUUCCUGGCGGCACAAAUGUCCGUUUGUAAAGCAGCAGGGCUGGAGUCUGCAGGAUUUGCAGGCUUCCGUCUUGAAGGAAGUCUGGGAGGCUCAGAAUUUCCAGCGUUUUCACCGUAGAGCCAGCCUCGCCAGGGCCAAACCACCCAGUAGCCUGACUGCCAGCAGCCUCGGCAGGGAGGAAUAAAAAUUUUUCAUCUAUAAUUCAGAAGCUAAGUAAAUAACAAAAUGAAGCCAGUAAAGCAUCUGUUGGCAUCUAGUAGUAAAUUGGCAAAUGUUCCAGAAUUAACAUAUAAAAAAGGAGUAUUUAAUUCACCAUUGUCACCUAAACCAAAGGAAAAACAUAGUGCAAAAUUAGUACGUGAUAAACUUGAACCAGUGGUCUUAAGAUCUCCACCAACAGGGGAAUCCAUCAUAAGGUAUGCUUUGCCCAUUCCAUCAAGUAAGACAGAGGAGUUAGUAGCAGAAGAUGAAUUGAUCAGGAAGAUUACCAAACAUCUGAAGAUGGUUGUUUCUACUUUGGAAGAAACCUAUGGAUUUAGCAUUCCAAGUGGAGAAGAACCAGUUGUGAAGCCUGAACAUGAAGGAUUAACCUUUCCUGUUGAGAAUGAUCUGAAUUCAUUCUUGGUAUGUUGUUCACAACUUGCAGCUCAGUUAGAAGCAGCAGCUAAGGAAGAACGUAAUAUUUUGGAAUCUCUUUUUAAGUGGUUUCAGCGACAGGUCAAUCAGAUGGAAGAGAUAAGUAGAGGUCAAACUUUUUCAGCAGAGUUUCCAGCACCUGAUAAAACAGUCAGUUUAAGCAUUGCACAAAUAGUAAAGCAGAUGCACAAACUUGAAGAACUGAAAAAUCGCCUUAAAGAAAGGUCUAAAUUCACCUUCAAAGACAUGUCAUCUAAACCCAAGGAUAGUGAAAUUCCACCAGAAGAAGUGCAAACUUAUGAAACUGUACUGCAGAAAAUUGAAGAAUUCAUAAAAACACACUCAACUGAAGAAAUUACAGGUGUUUCUGCGACUGAGCCACUAGAAACUUCUACAAUGACUAAUCGAUUGAAUACCAUGUUGAAAAUAUUUGAAAAUCAGGCAAAUAAAUUAAAGAGAGCUAUGAGUGAGCAAGUUUUGUUAGAGGCUAAAAAUACACAGAUUCAAAGUGACCUCCAAGUGUUGUCAGAGGAGAAACUGAUGCUGGAAAAUGAACUACAAAAGUUGAAGAGUACAGAGAAACCAAAGGCUACAAGUGAGCGACAAAAGAAAACUAUGAAAAUGGAGAAGAAAAAAGACGAAGGAAUAUCUGAAGAUUCAGAAGAGAAGAAGUCUGUAGUGAAAGAGCUUAAAGUAAAAGAAGAUAUGCCUCAAGUCCAGGAAGUAGCACAUGCUCUGAAAAUUGAGAACAGAGUUCUUCGGGAACAACUGAAACAAGCUUUACAGGAAGCUGAAAGAGCUAAGGAGCAACUUGCCUAUUUCCAAAAUCAAGAAAUGGAGUUACUUAAAAGUGAGGGAAAGACCAAGACAACAGCAGAAAUGGGUAUUGAUAAAAUAAAAGUUAAAGGUGAAGAUUCAAAAUAUAUACCAUUGGAGAAAGACACAAGAAAAACACUAGUGGCAGAUUCAGGUGGACAAAAAGAAAAUGAUAAAAUUAAACAUCCACAGAUCCUCAAGUCUCAAGAUGGAUCACCUUUUUUAAACACUUCAAAUGAAAUUUUAACUGAUGAAGAUCUGUCCCAUCUACUUUCAUCAAAGACCCAUGAUAAAUCACUUACAAGAAUAUUAUUGAGCAAAGAAAUUCAAGAUUCACAGUCUGUUGGAACAUUGCUUCAAGGGAAUGAAACCGCGACAGCAUCAUUCGUUCCACCCCCUUUUGUUAAAAUGAAGACUCUGGCUACUGACAUCUCAAAGGCUGAUAUUUUAGAAGAGAAUUUACGAAGUAAGAUUAAAAAGCAAACUUACGAAGAAGCAAGAGAAUUUCAAGGUUAUGAUGAAGCAUCAGAUGAAAAGCUUAUGCUUAACCAUCAGGAUUCAGUGUCAAAACGCCAAACACAAGUAAAGAAACAAAGAACUUUCAAAAGGGAAAGACUCUCUACUCAUGAUAAAGUACCAGAUAAGAAGCUUAUGCAUGAGAAUCAAGAUUCAGUGUCAAAAAUCCAACAGCAAGUAAAGAAAGAAAGAAAUCUCAGAAAGGAAGGACACACUACUCAGUUUGAAGUACCAGAUGGAAAUCUUCUCUAUGAGGAUCAAGACUCAAUAUCAAAAACACAAAUGCAAGUAAAUACACAGAGAACAUUCAAAGCUCAUGAUCAUGUGUCAGAUGAAAAUCUUAUGUUUAAGCAUCAAGACUCAAAGUCAGAAACAGAAAUGCAUGCAGAGAAACAAAAAUCUUCUAGAGAUGAAAGUCUCAUUACUCAUCGUAAAGUACCAGAUGAAAAUCCUGUGCUUGAGCAUGGAGACUCAAUGUCAGAAACUCAACUGGAAGUAAAGAAACAAAGACCUUCUAAAGGAGAAAGACUCAAUACUCAGGAUGAAGUACCAGAUGGAAAUCGUAUGCUUGAGCAUCAAGAUUCUGUGUCAAAAUCAGAGAUUCAAGUGAAGAAACAAAGCCCUCACAAAGGGGAAAGACAUAUUACUCAUGAUGACACACCAGACAAAAAUCCUGUGCUUAAACAUCAAGAUUCAGUGUCAAAACUCCCCAUGCAAGUACAAAAACAAAUAACUUCCAGAGGAGGACAACACAGUAGUCAUAUUGGAGUACUGGGUGAAAAUCUUACGCUUGUAAAUCAAGAUUCAGUGUCAAAACCCCAAAUGCAAGUAGAGAAACAAAUACCUUACAGGAAGGAGAUGAGUCAUACAUUUCCUCUUCAAAACGAGAAAAACGAUACGAUAACACUUGAAAAUCUACCUCCUGAGAAGAAAGGUUUUUUUUCAAGAAACCAAUCUCAAACUAAGAACCUUAGAGCUAUCAGACAGGAGAAUCUUGAUACUCAGAAAGCAGAAGACGUAUUACCCGAGGAUGAAGUUGAAUUGUCAAAAAGCCAAUCUCAAACUAAGAAACUUAGAGCUGUCACAAUGAAAGCACUAAAUAAUCAAGAUGCGAAUGAACUCUCAGAUGAGAAUUUUAUACUUGAAGAUCUAGUACUAGCUAAAGGAUACAAGGAUAAAAUUCAAACAAGUGGAGUUUAUGAGUCUCAAAAAUUGAGAGUUAAAAAUGAAGCAGCCUCAGAACAUCCAGAUACAGCAGAAAAUCUUCCAGCAGUGAAUCCAUCAGUUAAUGACCUAAUAUUUCAAUUAGGUUUAAACAAAGUGGUAGAAAUUGAUCUAGAACCCUUGAAAGAUACUGUUGGAAGACGUAUAUUAAUGGCAGAAAUGAAGAUACAACCAAAGAGUGUCCCUGGCACUGAUACAGAGCGCUUCCCAGAUGCUAUUGGAAGAGGUAUAAUAAAGGGUGGAAUCAAGACACAAUCCAAGAGUCAUCCUGAGACUGAUAUACAACGCAUGAGAGAUACUGUUGGAAGAGAAAAAGCAGUUGGUGAAAUCAAGACACAUCAUCAGAGUCACCCUGAGAGUGACACAGAACGCUUCCCAAAUAUUGUUGGAAGAAGUAUUAUGAAGAGUGAAUUCAAGACACAACCCAAGAGUCGUCUUGGGACUAAUGUAAAAGGCUUGACAGAUAAAACUAGAAGAGGUGUAAUAAAGGGACAAUUCAAGAUACAAUCAAUGGAUCUCCCUGACACUGAUACAGAGCGCUUCCCAGAUGCUGUUGGAAAAGGUAUAAUAAAGGGUGAAAUCAAGACACAAUCCAAGAGUUAUCCUGAGACUGAUAUACAACGCAUGAGAGAUACUGUUGGAAGAGAAAAAGCAGUUGGUGAAAUCAAGACAUAUCAUCAGAGUCACCCUGGUAUGAGUUUAUUUAAAAAAAAUGCAUUCUCAUAUCAAGAAGAUUUCUACACCAGGCACAUUGCACCAAGUAAAUAUAAAACAAAAGUGAUGAAUUUAUCACCCUUUGAUGAUGAAGGCAAGGUCAAUAGAAAGAGUCAACAUGAGGGGCAUCGAAAAAAUUUGACCUUAAACAAAAAGAAAGGUGAACUUGAUACUCUGCCUGCUCUGAUCGCUACAGCUAGAAAACCUAUCUAUAAAGGUCUGAAGUGGGUCUCUUGAAGACAGCAUAUGUAUGGAUCUUGUUUUUGUAUCCAUUCAGCAAGCCUGUGUCUUUUGGUUGGAGCAUUUAAUCCGUUCACAUUUAAGUGCCAUAUACUGCUACCCGAAAAUCUCUACCCCACCCAUACUUUUGAGAAUAAAUUAAUUCUGGGCAAAAUAAAUAACAUGAGCAAAUUCGUCAAGACAGCAAUGAACCUGCAAGAGUGGAAAUAACACUGCCUUCAGUAGAUGCUGCUUAUUGAACAAUAAUGAGAAAGAUCCUGAAUAAACAGGGUAGACCCAGAUCAUGGACGUAGUAAAAAAAAGUACAACUUACAUGGCAAGAAGAAAUCAUCAAUUGAGUGAGCAUAAAGUAUCAGUCAAGAGAAAAUAAAUUGAGGAAUUCUUCACUAAUUACUGAUUCUCUGAAACUGUGAAAGGUCCCAGAGGAAGUCUCUCAGUGUCAGAAAUGGUUCUUAACAUCGAGUCAAAUUCUACCUUCAUAGAGUACAGGCUACCAAUUCUGAAUAUACGUGUAUACUGGGGUUGAACAAAUAAAUACAGGAAUGAUGGAAUGUAAGAGCCAGGUUUCUCAGUGCUGGAGAGAGAAAUUAUAGGUAAGUAAAUUGGAAAGCUUAGAAUAAACCCCAUGGUAAUGCGUACGUUGGAAAGUCUUCAUACUAUUUUUGCAACUUGUAUGUAAGUCUAGAAUUAUUUUUUAAACAUUUUUCAGUAAUCACCCAGAGAGUAUUUGUAUAAUGAAAUAUGAACAGGAAACCCUAAAUUUAAGAUUUGGACAGAAGAACAGGUUAUAUUUGUUUUUUCCAUUCAUUUAUUAAUUCAGUUAAAAUUCAGUGUUUAUUAUAUCCAGGCACAGUGUUAAUUGUUAGGUUUACAAGGGUAAACCAAUCAAGCAUCAUUUCAUCAACUCAGAAUCUAAUGAGGGAAACAAAUGUUAAAUGAAUAUGUAUAUAGUAAGGUGAAUUAUAUACAGAAUUUGUGAAUACAUAAGUAUGUAUAAUACACAUAUCUAUGUAUAACACUUUUUUAAAUUGAAAUAUUGUUAAUUUAUAAUGUUUUGUUAGUUUCUGGUGUACAGCAAAGUGAUUCAGUUAUAUGUAUGUAUAGACUUUUAUAUAUAUGUAAAUUAUAUAUACUUUUAUAUUUUCAUAUUCUUUUCCAUUAUAGUUUAUUACAAAAUAUUGAAUAUAGUUCCCUGUGCUAUACAGUAGGACCUUGUUGUUUAUAUAUAGUAGUUUGUAUCUGCUAAUCCCAAACUCCUAAUUUAUCCCCCCCUCCCCGCCCUGAACUUUCCCCUUUGGUAACCAAGUUUGUUUUCUAUGUCUCUGAGUCUGUUUUUGUUUUGCAAAUAAGUUCAUUUGUAUCAUUUUUUAAGAUUGCACAUAUAAGUGAUACCAUAUAUUUGUCUUUCUCUGUCUUACUUCACUUAGUAUGAUAAUCUCUCUCUUUAGAGAAAUCAGCUGAUAACCUUUUGGGGGUCCCUUGUAACUAACUCUUUGUUUUUCUCAUGCUGCCUUUAGAAGCCUCUCUUUAACUUUUGUCAUUUUAAUUAUAAUAUGUCUUGGUGUAGGUCUGUUUGGGUUUAUCUUGUGCUUCCUGUACCUGGAUAUGUUUCCUUCUUUAUGUUUCAGAAAUUUUCAGCCAUAGUUUCUUCAAAUACAUUUUCGAUCCCCUUUUCUCUUUCUUCUCUUUCUAGGAUCCCUAUUAUGUAUGGAUUGUCUUGCUCUAUAUUAUCCCAUAGGUCUCAUAUGUUGCUUUCAUUUUUUUUCAUUUGUCUUUCUGUCUGCUUUCUGAUUGGGUGAUUUCCAUUAUCCUCUCUGCCAGAUCACUUAUUCAUUCUUCUGCAUUAUCUAGUUUGCUAUUUAUUGCCAUUUGCUCAGCUUUCAUCUCAGCAAGUGAGUUUUCUAAUUUUCAUUGGCUCAUCUUUAUAGUUUCUAGUUCCUUGUUAAAAUGAUCUGCAUUUCUAUUAAUAGCCUUUCUUAACUCCUUCAGUAUUUUUAUUACCUCCUUUUUGAACUUGGGGUCUGGUAGACUGGAGAGGUCUGUUUCAUUGUUUUUUCUUUCAGGGGAUUUCUCUUGUCUUUUAAGGGUUCUGUUUUGAUAAUAUAUGUUCGCUUUCAUAAUUUAACCAUAAUACUGCAAGAUUAUGUUUCCUUUUUCCAAAGUGUGUAGAACACAUCAUAUAUGCCUCAGAGGUAAGGAUAAAGUGACUGACAUUAAAGGCCUUGGAUAAAGCUUAAUGACCAACGACUGUAAGAAUCAAAUAGGAUAGUAGCAAUGAAAGUGUGAUGAAGAUAUGAGGUAUGUAAGAAACAAAAUAAACUAGGCUGUUCAAAUAGAAGUCUGAAAACAAAAUUGGAUUUAAUGGCUGAGUGGCAAAGGAAGGAUGCACCACACAGGUCUGACUUAAGAGAGUUGUCCAAAAUGAAAAUUGAAGGGCUUAGAUAUAGGGCAAAAAGGGAAUAAUAAGACUGAAUAGGGUAAGAUGACAAUUUCAAGUCAUGAGUUGGCUGAAGAGGUAGAUUAUAAACUCAUGUUCACAAUUACUUACCUUUAGAGAUUGCAUCACCAAUAUGGAGAAACCUGGUUUCAAGUAGGUCUGGGAUGGAGAAAGAAAAAUUUCAAAGGGCCUAAGGUUAUGCUUAGAUUGGCAAGAUUUUUUUUUUUAACCUAUUUCAUUACAGUCUUACUUAGAAAUAAGAAAUGAAGUUGGGAAUUCCCAGAGGUACCUUCCAUUGCUAAGGUGAUUGAAGGGGAAAAUGGUACUAAUUGAUAAUUAACACUUGUUAAAAAUUUACAAGAUUUACAUUGUCUUUGAGGAGUGACAUCAGCAAGAUGGUGGACUAGGAGGAGCUCUGGAAACUAGUCAGAUCACAAAAGAAGAGAGCAAAAGAAGAAGAAAGGAACAAAAAUGAACUACAAAAACAACCAGAAAACAAUAAGUACAUGUGCAUCAAUAAUUACUUUAAGUAUAAAUGGACUAAAUACUUCAAUGAAAAGACACAGAGUAGGGACUUCCCUGGUGGUGCAGUGGUUAACAAUCCGCCUGCCAAUGCAGGGGACAUGGGUUCGAUCCCUGGUCUGGGAAGAUCCCACAUGCUGUGGAGCAACUAAGCCCAUGUGCCACAACUACUGAGCCUGAGCUCUAGAGCCCGCAAGCCACAACUACUGAGCCCGCAUGCCACAACUACUGAAGCCCAUGCUCCUAGAGCCCGUGCUCCGCAACAAGAGAAGCCACGACAAUGAGAAGCCCACACACGACAACGAAGACCCAACGCAGCUAAAAAUUAAAAAAACACAGGGCUUCCCUUAUGGCGCAGUGGUUGAGAAUCUGCCUGCUAAUGCAGGGGACACGGGUUCGAGCCCUGGUCUGGGAAGAUCCCACAUGCCGCGGAGCAACUAGGCCCGUGAGCCACAACUACUGAGCCUGCACGUCUGGAGCCUGUGCUCCGCAACAAGAGAGGCCGCGAUAGUGAGAGGCCCACGCACCGUGAUGAAGAGUGGCCCCCGCUUGCCACAACUAGAGAAAGCCCUCACACAGAAAUGAAGUCCCAACACAGCCAAAAAAAAAAAAAAAAAAAAGACACAG
This is an RNA transcript of Orcinus orca (killer whale), 7782 nucleotides long. It is a transcript of the gene named coiled-coil domain containing 7, with no coding region annotated. The transcript has 45 exons. NCBI's taxonomy places the organism in Eukaryota, Metazoa, Chordata, Mammalia, Artiodactyla, Delphinidae. The record is from RefSeq and is a predicted model, not a curated record.